CCUACGGGAGGCAGCAGUAGGGAAUAUUGGACAAUGGACGCAAGUCUGAUCCAACCAUCCCGCGUGAAGGAUUAAGGCCCUAUGGGUUGUAAACUUCUUUUCUUUGGGAAUAAAAAGCGGUAUUCAUAUCGCCUUGAGGGUACCAGAGGAAUAAGCACCGGCUAACUCCGUGCCAGCAGCCGCGGUAAUACGGAGGGUGCAAGCGUUAUCCGGAUUCACUGGGUUUAAAGGGUGCGUAGGUGGCUUUGUAAGUCAGCGGUGAAAGCCUGGAGCUCAACUCCAGAAUUGCCAUUGAUACUGCAGAGCUUGAAUCAAGUUGAGGUGGAUGGAAUAUUACAUGUAGCGGUGAAAUGCUUAGAUAUGUAAUAGAACACCGAUUGCGAAGGCAGUUCACUAAGCUUGUAUUGACACUGAGGCACGAAAGCGUGGGGAUCAAACAGGAUUAGAUACCCUGGUAGUCCACGCCCUAAACGAUGCAAACUCGACAUUAGCGAUAUACAGUUAGUGUCCAAGCGAAAGCGUUAAGUUUGCCACCNGGAGUACGACCGCGAGUAGAACGACGAAAGAAGUUAGACGGCGUGAGACGUGCCGACGGACGACGACGAGGGAGGUUAGG
Molecule: ribosomal RNA, 616 nt
Filed under: uncultured bacterium
Lineage: Bacteria
Description: bacterial SSU rRNA
Rfam family: Bacterial small subunit ribosomal RNA (bases 1-535)
Source: RNAcentral